GGUUGAUCCUGCCAGUAGUCAUAUGCUUGUCUCAAAGAUUAAGCCAUGCAUGUCUAAGUAUAAACACGUUUGUACGGUGAAACUGCGAAAGGCUCAUUAAAUCAGUUAUAGUUUAUUUGAUAGUACCUUACUACUUGGAUAACCGUGGUAAUUCUAGAGCUAAUACAUGCGCAAAAACCCGACUUCAGGAAGGGUUGUAUUUAUUAGAUAAAAAGCCAACCCGGGCAACCGGAUGCGUGGUGAUUCAUAGUAACUUGUCGAAUCGCAGGGCCUUGCGCCGGCGAUGGUUCAUU
RNAcentral lists this ribosomal RNA (293 nucleotides) under uncultured eukaryote. RNAcentral describes it as "partial 18S ribosomal RNA". It matches the Rfam family "Eukaryotic small subunit ribosomal RNA", at positions 6 to 299 of the family's 1831-position model. The record is from RNAcentral.